This 275-nucleotide microRNA precursor is filed under the name Oryza sativa Indica Group (long-grained rice). RNAcentral's name for it is "MIR821 microRNA precursor family". It matches the Rfam family "MIR821 microRNA precursor family". Lineage: Eukaryota; Viridiplantae; Streptophyta; Magnoliopsida; Poales; Poaceae. The record is from Rfam by way of RNAcentral.
GAUAUCAACUGAAAAAGUCAUCAACAACAAAGUUGAAUAACUCAUCAAGAUCUAAAACUUUUAUUUUGGUCAUUUCUUCAUACGACAAAGUGAUAGUAACAUUGUUCACAAAAUUGACAUAUCUCUUAUCUGGUUUUAUAAACUAUAACACAUAUAUGUAAAAUUUGUGAAUAAUAUUACUAACAUUUCGUCGGAUGAAGAAAUAACAAAAAUAAAAGUUUUAGAUCUUGAUGAGUUAUUCAACUUUGUUGUUGAUGACUUUUUCAAUUAAAAUC